This 305-nucleotide ribosomal RNA is filed under the name uncultured bacterium. Its description in RNAcentral is "bacterial SSU rRNA". It matches the Rfam family "Bacterial small subunit ribosomal RNA", at positions 28 to 320 of the family's 1533-position model. The record is from RNAcentral.
GAUGAACGCUGGCGGCGUGCCUAAUACAUGCAAGUCGAGCGAACUGAUUAGAAGCUUGCUUCUAUGACGUUAGCGGCGGACGGGUGAGUAACACGUGGGCAACCUGCCUGUAAGACUGGGAUAACUUCGGGAAGCCGAAGCUAAUACCGGAUAGGAUCUUCUCCUUCAUGGGAGAUGAUUGAAAGNUGGUUUCGGCUAUCACUUACAGAUGGGCCCGNGGNGACAUUAGCUAGUUGGUGAGGUAACGGCUCACCAAGGCAACGAUGCAUAGCCGACCUGAGAGGGUGAUCGGCCACACUGGGACU